Molecule: non-coding RNA, 390 nt
Organism: Microcebus murinus (gray mouse lemur)
Lineage: Eukaryota; Metazoa; Chordata; Mammalia; Primates; Cheirogaleidae
Source: RefSeq, a predicted model, not a curated record
AGUAGCGGGGACUACAGGCAAACGCCACUUAAUAUCACUCCUGAAUUUCUAGCUUUCUUCUGGGAGUGGUGGGAGGGAAGUUCAUUCCCCUUAAAGUAAACCAUAAGCAACUGAAGUACAAUGAAACACAGUUACAUGGGACGGGGAGAGACCGUUAUACUAUGUAAGGCAUCAACAAACUGCCAUAUCAGAGGAGUAAAGAACUCACUCCCAUGGAAGCAGUAGGAAAGCCAGCAGAGAAUACACAAGCGCCAUGACAAAUGAUGAGAGGGGUUUACUAAGUAAAAAUGAAGAAGGACAUUUCAGCAGUAGAAAAAAAGCUGUGCAAAGGCAAAGAAGUAAAAGUCAAGAAAAUGUGUUCAAUGUGACUGGAAAUUAGCUGGAGACAAU